GCUACACGGGUGAGGCAGCUCUUCACAUGGUUCUGAUUAGUGACAAAGUUCACAUUUUCCUCAGAAGAAGAGCGGGACUCUAAUGAUGAACAUUUGCAUUUUGAAGAGUGACCUGAUCCGGCCGAGGAUACAAUUUGGGAUGAGGUCACAGGGAAACCUGGAGCCUAUCCCAGGGAGCAUCGGGCACAAGGCGGGGUACAGGGUGCCAAUCCAUCGCAGGGCGAAAUCACAUACACAUUUUGGACAUGCCAAUAAUCCUACCAUGCCAUGCACCAUGCACCGGAGUACCCAGAGGAAACCUCCGC
Ictalurus punctatus (channel catfish) is the source of this 305-nucleotide long non-coding RNA. The record is from Ensembl. Lineage: Eukaryota; Metazoa; Chordata; Actinopteri; Siluriformes; Ictaluridae.